AUUCUACGUUAUCCUGCUCUCGUUGCUUACCCUUGCUAUUAUCACUCUAGCACAGGAGGAUGCCAACUACCUCUAUCAUAAUUGCCAAAACGCAACCACCUCCACAAUAAACAGCACCUACCGAGUCAAUCUAAAUCUCCUCCUCUCUUCACUUGCCUCAAAUGCAACCCUGAAUAAUACCAUUGGAUUCUACAACACCUCUUUCGGGCAGAGCACUGAUCAAGUGUACGGCCUGUUUAUCUGCCGUGGCGAUCUUAGCAACUCUGUUUGCCAAAAUUGUGUCACCUUCGCCACCGAAGAUAUAGUCCAGCGUUGCCCAAUCGGAAUAGCGUCCAUUGUGUAUUACGAUGCGUGCAUCCUACGUUACUCAAACAGGAACAUUUUCUCUAAGGUGGAUCAAAGCCCUGGUUUCUCCUUGUUAAACACACAGAAUAUCACAACCGAACCCCAGCGUUUUAACAAUCUAGUGGGAGCCACCGCGAAUGAUUUGGCUACUCGAGCUGCAAGUGCUCCUCCAGGUGCUAAAAAGUUUGCCGUGAACAAAACGUCUUUCAAUGCGUUCCAAAAUAUAUACAGCCUUGCCCAGUGCACACCGGAUUUAUCUAGCUCUGAUUGCAAUCGAUGUCUCAGUGCAGCUAUAGCUGGAUUGCCCAAUUGCUGCAGCAGCANNNNNNNNNNNNNNNNNNNNNNNNNNNNNNNNNNNNNNNNNNNNNNNNNNNNNNNNNNNNNNNNNNNNNNNNNNNNNNNNNNNNNNNNNNNNNNNNNNNNNNNNNNNNNNNNNNNNNNNNNNNNNNNNNNNNNNNNNNNNNNNNNNNNNNNNNNNNNNNNNNNNNNNNNNNNNNNNNNNNNNNNNNNNNNNNNNNNNNNNNNNNNNNNNNNNNNNNNNNNNNNNNNNNNNNNNNNNNNNNNNNNNNNNNNNNNNNNNNNNNNNNNNNNNNNNNNNNNNNNNNNNNNNNNNNNNNNNNNNNNNNNNNNNNNNNNNNNNNNNNNNNNNNNNNNNNNNNNNNNNNNNNNNNNNNNNNNNNNNNNNNNNNNNNNNNNNNNNNNNNNNNNNNNNNNNNNNNNNNNNNNNNNNNNNNNNNNNNNNNNNNNNNNNNNNNNNNNNNNNNNNNNNNNNNNNNNNNNNNNNNNNNNNNNNNNNNNNNNNNNNNNNNNNNNNNNNNNNNNNNNNNNNNNNNNNNNNNNNNNNNNNNNNNNNNNNNNNNNNNNNNNNNNNNNNNNNNNNNNNNNNNNNNNNNNNNNNNNNNNNNNNNNNNNNNNNNNNNNNNNNNNNNNNNNNNNNNNNNNNNNNNNNNNNNNNNNNNNNNNNNNNNNNNNNNNNNNNNNNNNNNNNNNNNNNNNNNNNNNNNNNNNNNNNNNNNNNNNNNNNNNNNNNNNNNNNNNNNNNNNNNNNNNNNNNNNNNNNNNNNNNNNNNNNNNNNNNNNNNNNNNNNNNNNNNNNNNNNNNNNNNNNNNNNNNNNNNNNNNNNNNNNNNNNNNNNNNNNNNNNNNNNNNNNNNNNNNNNNNNNNNNNNNNNNNNNNNNNNNNNNNNNNNNNNNNNNNNNNNNNNNNNNNNNNNNNNNNNNNNNNNNNNNNNNNNNNNCCUGGCACUCUCUUGAUCACACUCAUUUUUUACAUUGAUUUUGCUGUACAAUUCAUCAUUUUUGUUUUUUUUCCUAUCAAAUUUAAUCCUCACUCUUUUGAUUGUCAAUUUUUUUGCUUUGACAAGUUUUUUAAAUUGAUAUUUUUAAUUGGUUCGUAAUAAAAUUCGUGAUUGAACCCAGAUCCAGGGUUUCACAGGAUGCAAGUUUUAAAGAAUUGACUGGUUUAUGAUAUUUCCUGGGUUUGCUUGGUUUUUUAUUUUUAUUUUUCUUUGUCUAAGUUAAUUUUUUUUUCUCAUCUCAUCUUUUAAUAUUUAUUCAAUUGGAGUCUGGGUUAUAUAUUUUUUUACUUUGCUUUGUGCUAAUUUUUUUUUUUGUUUUGAAAAUGACCCAGUUAUCUUGAGUCUUUUAUUUAUCAUUCUUUGUUGGAUUUUUUUGGCUAAUUUUUUAAAUUGAUGAUAUCUUUUUUUUUAUUUCAUCCUUAAAUAAUUGAAAUUAGUUUUUAAACAAUUUAUAAGAUUAAAAUUCAUUUUCUAUUUCAUCUCCCUUUAUUUUUUUUUAUCUUUCGGAUUGUGUUCUCAUUUUUUUUAUUUCUAUUUGUUUUAUUUGAGAUAACUGUUUUAAUUUAUUUUCUCUCUAGAAUUUUUCAUUGAUUUUAAAAAUGACUUGGGUUUUCUCGAGUCUUUUUAUUUGUUGUUCUUUGUUGGAUUUACUUUCGCUAAUCAAUAUUAAAUUAGUUGAGAAUUGAGUUUCUUGAUUCAGCCUGGAUCUAGGAUAUAAAGGGUUGCAAGUUUAAGAUCUUUGUCUAUGUUUAAGAGGUUCGCCCGAUUUUUCUUGGGUUUUUUUCCAAGUUUAUGACUUUUUAAUUUUAUCAUUCAAUAUUUAUAUCAUUAAUGAUUAUACUUUCUUUCUUCAUUAUGAGCCUUCUAUAUGAUUUUUUUGAAUGUUUUUUUUUUCAGGUUCCAUAUUUUUUUAUGUUUUCCAUAUGCCAACCUUUUUUUUGUUGGGUCUAUCGCCCAAGUUAUAUUUAAAAAAAAAAAACAAAAUUAAAAAUUGUUUGCCUCGUAAAAUUACAAAUAUUUAUCAAUUUCACCUAUUUUUUUUUUGUUUUUUAAAUUUGAUCUUUAUUAUUUUGAUUGUUAUUUGUUUUGUUUGAGAUCACUUUUUAGAUUGUUUAUAUAUAUAUUCAUUGAUUUUAAAAAUAACUUGAGUUUUCUCGAGUCUUUUUAUUUGUUGUUCUUUGUUGGAUUUACUUUCGCUAAUCAAUAUUAAAUUAGUUGAGAAUUGAACUUCUUGAUUCAGCCUGGAUCUAGGAUUUAAAGGGUUGCGAGUUUAAGAUCUUUGUCUAUGUUUAAGAGGUUCGCCCGAUUUUUCUUGGGUUUUUUUUUCAAGUUUAUGACUUUUUAAUUUUAUCAUUCAAUAUUUAUAUCAUUAAUGAUUAUACUUUCUUUCUUCAUUAUGAGCCUUCUAUAUGAUUUUUUUGAAUGUUUUUUUUUUUCAGGUUCCAUAUUUUUUUAUGUUUUCCAUAUGCCAACCUUUUUUUUUUGUGGGGUCUAUCGCCCAAGUUAGAUUUAAAAAAAAAAACAAAAUUAAAAAUUGUUUGCCUCGUAAAAUUACAAAUAUUUAUCAAUUUCACCCAUUUUUUUUUUGUUUUUUAAAUUUGAUCUUUAUUAUUUUGAUUGUUAUUUGUUUUGUUUGAGAUCACUUUUUAGAUUGUUUAUAUAUAUAUUCAUUGAUUUUAAAAAUAACUUGAGUUUUCUCGAGUCUUUUUAUUUGUUGUUCUUUGUUGGAUUUACUUUCGCUAAUCAAUAUUAAAUUAGUUGAGAAUUGAGCUUCUUGAUUAAGUCUGGAUCUAGGAUUUAAAGGGUUGCGAGUUUAAUAUCUUUGUCUAUGUUUAAGAGGUUCGCCUGAUUUUUCUUGGGUUUUUUUUUCAAGUUUAUGACUUUUUAAUUUUAUCAUUCAAUAUUUAUAUCAUUAAUGAUUAUACUUUCUUUCUUCAUUAUGAGCCUUCUAUAUGAUUUUUUUGAAUGUUUUUUUUUCAGGUUCCAUAUUUUUUUAUGUUUUCCAUAUGUCAACCUUUUUUUUUUGUUGGGUCUAUCGCCCAAGUUAGAUUUAAAAAAAAAACAAAAUUAAAAAUUGUUUGCCUCGUAAAAUUACAAAUAUUUAUCAAUUUCACCCAUUUUUUUUGUUUUUUAAAUUUGAUCUUUAUUAUUUUGAUUGUUAUUUGUUUUGUUUGAGAUCACUUUUUAGAUUGUUUAUAUAUAUAAAUUCAUGAUUUUAAAAAUAACUUGAGUUUUCUCGAGUCUUUUUAUUUGUUGUUCUUUGUUGGAUUUACUUUCGCUAAUCAAUAUUAAAUUAGUUGAGAAUUGAGCUUCUUGAUUCAGCCUGGAUCUAGGAUUUAAAGGGUUGCGAGUUUAAGAUCUUUGUCUAUGUUUAAGAGGUUCGCCCGAUUUUUCNNNNNNNNNNNNNNNNNNNNNNNNNNNNNNNNNNNNNNNNNNNNNNNNNNNNNNNNNNNNNNNNNNNNNNNNNNNNNNNNNNNNNNNNNNNNNNNNNNNNNNNNNNNNNNNNNNNNNNNNNNNNNNNNNNNNNNNNNNNNNNNNNNNNNNNNNNNNNNNNNNNNNNNNNNNNNNNNNNNNNNNNNNNNNNNNNNNNNNNNNNNNNNNNNNNNNNNNNNNNNNNNNNNNNNNNNNNNNNNNNNNNNNNNNNNNNNNNNNNNNNNNNNNNNNNNNNNNNNNNNNNNNNNNNNNNNNNNNNNNNNNNNNNNNNNNNNNNNNNNNNNNNNNNNNNNNNNNNNNNNNNNNNNNNNNNNNNNNNNNNNNNNNNNNNNNNNNNNNNNNNNNNNNNNNNNNNNNNNNNNNNNNNNNNNNNNNNNNNNNNNNNNNNNNNNNNNNNNNNNNNNNNNNNNNNNNNNNNNNNNNNNNNNNNNNNNNNNNNNNNNNNNNNNNNNNNNNNNNNNNNNNNNNNNNNNNNNNNNNNNNNNNNNNNNNNNNNNNNNNNNNNNNNNNNNNNNNNNNNNNNNNNNNNNNNNUGUUAUUUGUUUAUUUGAGAUCGCUUUUUAGAUUGUUUAUAUACAUAAUUUCAUCCUUCGCGAGAAGUUAGUAUCUAAUAUUUGAUUUCGAUUCUUUUUAUUGCUAUCUUUUCUGAUUUUUCAGUUUUCUAAAUUAAUAUUUGUUUCAUGAUUUCAUCCGUUAAAAUUAAGUUAGUUGAGAAUUAAGUUUCUUGAGUCAGCUCGGGUCCAGGAAUUCUUCAGAGACAACGGUUAGAGAUUAACCGGGUUUAGAAGGUGUGGUUGAGUUUCCUUAGUUUUUUUAAAAAUAAUGUUUUUUUAUUACUUAACCUUUUUUUAGUUUUGCAUUAUUAUUUUUUACGGUUUGUCUUCUAUGAGAUUAAUCUAAGGUUCAUGCCCAGGGUUACCGAUUUUAGAGCUUAAUAGGGGGUAACUUUGUUUUUUUUUUUUAAAUGAUUAUUUUAUUUAUCCUUCAAUAUUUAAUUUAUUGGAAAGUGGUCUUCAUACCUUUUCUUUUUCUUUCCUUUUAUUGAUUUAUCUCGAUCAUGUGCCCAUAGUCACGAGGUUUGCAGGUAAAUCCAAGUUGACUCAUAUCUUUUCCCGUUGUCUUUUUAAAUUAUAUUUUAUUUUUUAUCAUUUAACAUUAAAUUGUUUGAUAAUUGAGUUUCAUGAUUAUAUUCAAUUUGCUUUUGAAAGUGGUCACUUUAGUAUCACAAUUAGGUCGUAAAUUUUGCAUUAUAAUCUCGGUGGGGGCACAUAUCGAGUUUUUUCAUCCUUUUUUAACUAUCUUUCUUUCUUAAUUUUUAUCCUUCAACAUUUUAUUUGCUAGAGAUUGAACUUCAACUUGUUUCUUUUAAUUUUUCAUUCUUUGAAGUUAUCAUAUUCUAAUUUGAUUUAUUAAGAAUUAGACUUUGAGCUUUUUUUCCUGCAUUUUGUUUAUGAGAUUAUCUCAAUCUUAUGUUAAUGGUCGUGAAGUUUGCAAGUUAACCCGUUUUAAUGGAGAUUGUUUUUUAAUUAUUUUUUGUUUUGCCCUUCAACAUUAGAGCUGUUUGAUAAUUGAGGUAGGCUCAUGUUAAGUUCUUUUUACCUUUUUUAUUUUUUUUGUCAGUUUAUUUAGUGUUGUUGUAUGUUGUUAAUCAUGUCAUUUGAAUUACUAAUUGAACCAAUAAUUUAAUUCUCAAAAAAAAAUUUCCUUAGCAUUUUUUUUAUACGUUGAAAACAUAUUUGGCUUUUGUGGAACAUAAAUCUGAACUAUCUCUUCUAUCCCAAUUUUUUUUUAUUCGUUAUCCUUUUACUAAAUAUUUGACUAUUAAAUUUCAGUAUAAUAGUAAAUGCAAUGGUUUUGAUAACCAUCACUAUUGCACGGAUGUUAUGAAAAUAGGCAUUGGUGCUUUCCCAUGGACUUUGAGAAAGUUUAACCAAAUUGCGAAGUACAUAUUUUGAUAGCAUUUGAUCAUUCCAUGAGAAAGCAAUAAUGAACUUAUAAGUUAAUUACUGGCUUGAAAGCCGCUUUUGACUUUAGAUCAUGGAAGGAAAGUUAUACACUCAGUCAAGUUCGUAAUUCAGUCCAAGACUUGAAUUAUAAGUUAGAUUAGUCAAUACAGAAAAAUCUAAACUAGGAUGAUUUCAAGAUUUAUUUUAAGAAACAUUUAAAAUGAUAUCAGGUUGGAAAAAAAUUUAAAAGAACAAAAAAAAACUUAUAAAAAAUUUUAUUCAGGUUUUGACCAGAUCAAUCAAAUUACAGGAUAAUCAAGUUUGACAUGGUUAACUCCCAACACGGUUUGAUAUAAAACCUUGUCUGAGCUAAUUACCGGGUCAACAAUUUGACUCGCCAAACCAAGCCAAGUUUAUAGUAUUUUUACUAAAAAAAUUAGUUAUCUAAAAUACUUUAAUAUCUUUUGUUCUUUGAAAAAAUGUUUCUUGACAUGUUUAAAUAUUUUCUUUUUUCUAAUUUCUUAACCCCUUCCCCCCACCCCCCAAAAAAAGAAAAAAAAAAGAAAAGAAAAAAGGAAAAAAAAAAAAAAAAAAGAGCUCCCAUGUCAUUCACAAAUGGAUUCGUCUCUGUCUGAAUAUGCUUGUAUGUGAAAGUUAAAAGCUUUUAUGAAUUACAAUGCGUUUUUGAAUGAUACAUGUUUCUUUAUGCAGAAAAAGGCGGUGUCCCAACAGUUUUAAUUAUGGCCAUUGUCAUUCCCAUUGCUGUUUCUAUCGCGCUUUUCAGCAUGUGUUUCUGUUUCCUGAGGAGGGCAAGAAAGACCAGAGAUUAUGUGCCAGAAAAUGAUGGUAAAGAACAUUAGAAAUCUUUUUAAUUGGGAAACAAAACAAAAGCAGAGUCUUUUCUGUUUUGUACUCCGCCUAAUAAUAUUUUCAAAAGCUCAAAGGAAUAUCUAAUUGUGUUGUGUAGUUGGAGAUGAGAUUACCACCGAGGAGUCCUUGCAAUUUGAUUUGAGUACUAUAGAAGCUGCCACGAACAAUUUCUCCGCUGAUAACAAGUUAGGUGAGGGAGGAUUUGGUGAGGUUUACAAGGUAAGCAACUCGCAAAGCAUUUAAAUUUUCAAGAACAGGAAAUACCUUGUUGCAUUAGGAUUUAAAAAUCCCUUGCUCAACCAUCGGUGAAAGUGCUUUCUCAGGGAACACUUCCUAAUGGACAACAAAUUGCUGUGAAGAGGCUAUCAAGAAAUUCUGGACAAGGUGCAGCAGAAUUUAAGAAUGAGGUUGUAUUGGUAGCCAAGCUUCAACACAGGAAUCUAGUGAGGGUGCAAGGGUUUUGCUUGGAAAGAGAAGAAAAGAUUCUUGUCUAUGAAUUUGUCAGCAACAAAAGCCUUGACUUCUUUCUAUUUGGUAUAUAUUGGUGAUUUUCUAAAUGUUCUUCUCAUUGCCUUUUAGUACGAGAAAUGCAUAUUUGCCUCUAGGAAUAUAGUCAAUUAUUCGUUAUCAGGCACAGUUGUCUUUGAAACAGUUGAUCUGCACUCUGACUUGAAGGUUCUGUUUUCUUGAUUUUAUAGACCCUGAAAGGCAAGGACUGUUGGACUGGUCCAGACGGUACAAAAUAAUAGGAGGCAUUGCUCGAGGAAUUCUUUAUCUUCACGAGGACUCGCGGCUACGAAUUAUACAUCGUGACCUCAAAGCUAGCAAUAUUCUGCUAGAUGGAGAUAUGAACCCCAAAAUCUCAGAUUUUGGCUUGGCUAGGAUUUUCGUAGUUGAUCAAACUCAAGCAAGUACAAUUAGAAUUGUUGGAACAUAGUAAGUUUGGAUCUAAUUCCCAUUGAUUGGUAAAUUCAUCUGCUGACAGAGUGCUUUCAUUUCGUUUUUUCUAAUCAUUUCUCUGUUUUCCUUGUUUGUAGUGGUUAUAUGUCCCCAGAAUAUGCAAUGCAUGGGCGUUUCUCUGUCAAGUCUGAUGUCUAUAGCUUUGGUGUCUUAAUCCUUGAGAUUAUAACCGGAAAGAAGAACAGUUCUUUCUAUCAAACAGGGGGUGCUGUAGACCUUGUGAGCUAUGUGAGUGCAAGUUUUUCUCUCUCGAAAACAGAGAGCAUAAGAUGUAGCAACUUUUAACCAUUCAAUUUUCUUUUUUCAGGUUUGGAAACAUUGGAGAGAUGGGACACCAUUGGAAGUGCUGGAUCCAACUCUGACAGAUACAUAUUCAAGAAAUGAAGUAAUUAGAUGCAUCCACAUUGGAUUGUUAUGUGUUCAAGAAGAUCCAGCAAUCAGACCCGCAAUGGCAACAAUUAUUCUCACACUCAAUAGUUACUCGGUUACCUUACCAUUACCUCAAGAGCCUGCUUUUUUUUUCCAUAGCACUAUAACAGAUGAAGUGAACAUUUCAAGCAAGGAAUUUCUUUUAGAAGAAUCUAAAAGCAAGUCUGUUGCUUAUUCUGUAGAUGAAGAUUCAAUUACUGAAGUAUAUCCUCGAUAGGGAGCAGGUGUAUUUUCUCUAAAAUAAGCAUAGAAAAAAAAAACAUGAGGUCAAUUUUUCAGUACCAAACACUUCAAAAUUGUGAUUUUCAUUGUUGACAAAUAAAGCACACAAGUAUUUUGAAUGAAUCUCCAAAGCUCUAUUGAUUAGCUCACACUUAUUUACACACUUAUAAUUUUGAAUAUAUUGGCUCUUAUAUUUAUAGGGAAAUUAAUCCUCUAACUUUCAUAAUCUAAUAAGUAUUCUAACUAACUAAUUAAGGAUUCUAAUUAACUAGUCUAACACAAAUAUUUUUUUUUUCAAGGAUUCCUAUUUACACAAUGAUUAUAAUUAUUCUCUAACAAUCUCUCCUUUAAAUUGUUGUUUUUAAACACCCAGUUUAAUAAUGAAUGAUUUUCAUUUAACCUUGUCUUGAUAUCUAUUUCACAACAAUGAUCCUUGGUCUUUUUAGAAGCUUUGUUAAUUCUCUAGUAUUGUUUUUCUUAAUGAUAACAGUUUCAUCAUCCAUAAACUUUUGCCACUUUAUUUCUUUUACAACGUUUUUAAAAGUCAUAGGAUCACACAAUGAGAAUAUAGUGAAAUGAGAAAGUGGAUCAACAAAUUAAUUGAUUUUAGUUGCCUCAUAAUUAUUGAUCCAUGUAGGCCUUUUUUAGCAUGUGGUGAUCGUUGGUCAUUAUUUACUGAUAUUAUCAAUGACACUUGAUCACCUAUUAAUUGUGGUGAUUUAUUCAUUGGCCUCUCUUUUUUCUCAUCAUUAAGUUUUUUUGUAUCUAAAGCAACUUCUUCCAACUCUAUUUUUGCUUUUUUUUCCUAAGAGAAGCAAUAUGUUAAACCUCACUUCUCUAUUCUAACUCAAAGACUUUCUCUUCAUCCUCCAAUUCCUUCUGCGGUAUCUCAAUGACUAACAAGAAGUCUACAUAUUCCUUCUAAAUCCUAUUGAGCAAUUCAGAGUGUUCUUGUUCCAUUUUAUUCAUGAAAUCUUCAUAUUUACGAUUAAGUGACUCAACAUCUUGUUGAUGUUGAUCUCGUAUUGUUUUUUCUCUAGUUUAUGGCUAUCAUGCUUAUCUUUGAGUAACCUAAAAACAAUUUCUCUCUCAUCUACUACACGUUCGACUUCAUUUCUUAGCUCUUCAUUUUUAUAUUAAUCAACUUUCAUUCAGUUUCAAUAUCAUAUUCAUCACGAUCAAUAAAAGUAACCUUCUUCUCUCAUUAGCAUUAACAUCACCAAACUUGAUAAAAUUUUGAUAAGAUUCAUCUAAACUAGAGAAAAUUGAUUUAUCUCCACUCAUAUGAUUGCUACAUUUGGUGUCUAAACAUCAUAAAUUUUGAUGAUAUUUCUCAUUUAUAUGAUAAGCCAUCAAUAAAGACAUUUUUUCUUUUUUUUUUUUAUGUAAAAUUAGAUUUGCCAUCAUUUCUAUUCAAAUUAGCAUGACAUUUAGAUUUGUAAUGUCAAUACUUAUGACACAUAAAACAUUCAACCUUUGAUUAGUCCAUUGGCUUUGGCUUGUAAAAAGUUAAAUGAUUAUUAUUAUAUUCUUUUUUCCCUCAUUUGAGAAUUAAAAGAAUGAUUAUCUUUAAAUUUCUGAUGUGAAAAUCUACCAUUAUUGUUGUUUGUUCUCCUUCCUCUUCCUUUUCCACCUAAAAAGUGAUUAUUAGAUAAAACUUGUAAAGCUUGCUCCUCUUUAUCUUGUUGAUUCAACUUUUGCUCAUGAAUUAGUAAGGAACUUUACAAUUCAUCAAUGGAAAGUUUGAAGAAUUACAAAGAAAAGAUAGAAUUUUCUAAUAAUAUUAUUGAUCAAUGUUACCGAUACAUAUACAAAAGUAUAUGCUGAAGUUAUGUUAUUGUUACAACAAGACAUGUUAUUGUUAAGUUUAACUAAUUACAUAAUUUUAUCCCUAAAUAAUAGGAGAUAAUCACUUCAACUGAUUUAUCUUAAUUGGGUCUCCAUUAUAGGAGAUAAUUACUCCAAUCACAUAUUGUAACAUCUGUCGCACGUGUGCGGCGUCACGGCAAUCGCCCACCCACACUUAAUGUGUGUGUGUAUCUGGAAAAUAUAGGGAGACAAGGAAUUCUUGUCUCUUAUCAGUGUAAAAUAGAAUAGGAGUCGCCACCUAGUAUUUUGGUCACUAGGAACCCUAACUGGUCUCAGAGAUCGGGUACGGAGACUGGUUGCGUAAAGGAAAGGUAUUAGCACCCCAAAUACGCCCUACCUAAGGUAAGCUGCAUUGUUUUAUUUGUCUGAUCAAAAUCUAAGGUUUGGUAGCGUUUUCUAAUUGUUGGUCCUGUCUGUCUAAGAUUCAAGAAAAGUCUUCCUCAAUAAGGAGGUUCUUAUCUUAUGGGGUAAGACCUAACCGUUCUAAUGUCUAUAAAAGAACUAUUGUUUUAAUAUCGAGAAUAUGCUUUACGUGUAAAUUCGUAAUCCCUGAUAUAAAAAGAAACAAAAUAAUUUUUUUUGGAUUUUUUUGAAAUAUUGGCCAAAUUCUCGUGACUUUAAUAAACUGGUUAUUAAAGCCAAAAUGCAUGAUAAAACAUUUUUUUUUUAAGUUUUCUUUGUUGUAUGAAAAUAGAAUAUGAGUUUUUUUAGCUUUGAGAGAUUUGGCCGUAUGCAUGAAAACAAAAACAUGUUUUUUUUUUUUUUAUGUUUUGACGAAAACCGGGUAUUUUAAUACCGAAUGUGUAUUUUUACGAUGUAAAAAUACAAACCAAUAUUAAGCAAAAUUUAGUAAAAAAAUACGUGGAAGAAUCACAAAUUUUCGAAAAUAUUAUUUUAAUUUUUUUUUUUGGACCGGGCUGGAACCGGCCCACUCAUUUUGGACUGUGCCGGACUUGUCCGGCCCAGUGAACAGUGGAGCACUCUCCACUGUUCACGCAGAACAGUGGAGAGCGACCGGAGAAGAAGCAAGAGAAGGAAACUGACCGGGCAGCGCUGGUGGCUCGCUGUGCUGGUCGCCGUGGUGCUGUUGUCGCGGUGGACGGCGGUGGUGGCAGACGGUGGUUCUUCUUCUUUUUUCAGUGUUUCUUCUUNNNNNNNNNNNNNNNNNNNNNNNNNNNNNNNNNNNNNNNNNNNNNNNNNNNNNNNNNNNNNNNNNNNNNNNNNNNNNNNNNNNNNNNNNNNNNNNNNNNNNNNNNNNNNNNNNNNNNNNNNNNNNNNNNNNNNNNNNNNNNNNNNNNNNNNNNNNNNNNNNNNNNNNNNNNNNNNNNNNNNNNNNNNNNNNNNNNNNNNNNNNNNNNNNNNNNNNNNNNNNNNNNNNNNNUGGCAGCUGCUGUGAUGGUGGUUCUGCGGCGGUUCUGUCGGUGGUGGCUGGGAGGAAUGGUGGAGGCGCUGGUGGAGGUGCAACGGUGGCUCUUCUCCUCCCUCUUCUGUCUUGCUCUUUCACUCUCCUUUCCCCCUUCUCUUCCUUUUUUCUUCUGUUUUGCCUGAGCUCCUCUCCUCUCAAACAAACUCCUCCCCCCUGUUUUCUGUUCUCCCCUUUUCCUUUUUCAAAACUUUCCCGCCCCUCCUGUUUCUGCUUCUUUCCUUCUGUUUCGGCCUCCCUCUCCUUCUCCAAAAUUUUGCCCCCCAGUUCGUUCCUCUCUUUCUCAAAAAAAUCCCCCCCCGUUUUCUGUUCUCUCCCCUGUAUUUAUAGGCAACCGGGGGAGAGGUUCACCAUACCCUGUCCAAGUGCAGGGCAUGGUGGCGUGGGAGUUGCAGGGUAUGGUUGUGUAGGUGUGGGUAUGGGUCAUGCAGGAUUUUUGGGCAAGUGGGGUGGAGAGAGAGAGGGGAAGGAUAGCGGGAAAAAUUUUCAAAAAUCUCCUUCUCCCCUGUCUCUGCAUUUGCAGGGGAGAAGAAGCUGCACAGUGCCGUUCAAAACACCACCGUGCAGUUUUUUUUUUUUUUGAAGAAAAGGAAAACAAAAUUUGGGAGUGACCCAAAAUUGGGUUAUGACAGUUGCCCCCCUCUUUACAAUGCUUACGGAGCAAAGACUUUGCAUAGUAAGCUUGUAAAGAAAACAAAAGGAAAUAAAAUGAUCUGAUUUAUCUUGGGCAACCUGCCCACACACGCUCACACUGGUCUUGGUCUAUUUUCAUGGGCGACCUGCCCACACACUCAUAAUGGUCUAUUUUCAGGGGUGACCUGCCCACACACGCUCCCACUGGUCUAUUUUCAUGGGCGACCUGCCCAAGUACUCAAAGUGGUCUAUUUUUAGGGGCGACUAGCCCACACACUCACACUGGUCUAUUUUCACGGGUGACCUGCCCACACACACUCACACUAGUCUUGGUCUAUUUUCAUGGGCGACCUACCCAAGCAUACUCAAAGUGGUCUAUUUUCAGGGGCGACCAGCCCACAACUCACACUUACCCUGGUCUAUUUUCAUGGGUGACCUGCCCAAGUAGAAAAAGAAAGAGUGGUCUCAUUGUAAUGGGUGACCUACCCAGGUGAAGGAAUGGUCUCAUUGUAAUGGGUGACCUAGCCAGAUAAAAAACAUGGACAAUUUGGUCGAAUUGUAAUGGGUGACCUAUCUAAAAUGGGAAAAAGGAAAAGUGGCCGUGUUGUAAUGGGUGACCUACCCAGGUGGAGGAAUGGUCUUAUUGUAACGGGUGAGAAAAAGGUAGAGUGGUCGAGUUGUAAUGGGUGACCUACCCAAGUGGAGGAAUGGUCUCAUUGUAAUGGGUGACCUACCCAGAUAAAAAAACAUGGGGAAUGGUCGAGUUGUAAUGGGUGACCUACCCAAAAAUGGAAAAAAGGAAGACUGGUCGUGUUGUAAUGGGUGACCUACCCACGUGGAGGAAUGGUCUCAUUGUAAUGGGUAACCUACCCAGAUAAAAAAAAACAUGGAGAAUGGUCGAGUUGUAAUGGGUGACCUGCCCAAAAAUGAAAAAAAAGAAGAGUGGUCGUGUUGUAAUGGGUGACCUACCCAAGUGGAGGAAUAGUCUCAUUGUAAUGGGUGACCUACCUAGAUAAAAAAACAUGGAGAAUGGUCGAGUUGUAAUGGGUGACCUACCCAAGUGGAGGAAUGGUCAAAUUGUAAUGGGUGACCUACCCAGAUAAAAAAAACAUGGAGAAUGGUCGAGUUGUAAUGGGUGACCUACCCAAAAAUGGAAAAAAGAAAGAGUGGUCGUGUUGUAAUGGGUGACCUAUCCAAGUGGAGGAAUGGUCUCAUUGUAAUGGGUGAGAUAAAAAAAACAUGGAGAAUGGUCGAGUUGUAAUGGGUGACCUACCUAAAAUGGAAAAAGGAAAGAGUGGUCGAGUUGUAAUGGGUGACCUACUCAGAUAAAAACAUGGAGAAUGGUCGAGUUGUAAUGGGUGACCUAUCCAGAUAAAAAACAUGAAGAAUUGGUCACGUUGUAAUGGGUGACCUACCUAAAAUGGAAAAAAGAAAGAGUGGUCGUGUUGUAAUGGGUGACCUACCUAGAAAAAAAAACAUGGAGAAGUGGUCUAAUUGUAAUGGGUGACCUACCCAGAAAAAAUGUUGGUCUCAUUGUAAUAGGUGACCUACCCAAGUGGAAGAAUGGCCUCAUUGUAAUGAGUGACCUACCUAGAUAAAAAAACAUGGAGAAGUGGUCGAAUUGUAAUGGGUGACCUACCCGGAAAAAAGUUGGUGAGGGCUCAAAGGCGUACUCGAAAUGUGGUAGGGUUAGAAAACACACUACCUGAGAUGGUGGCUCAAAGGCGCACUCGGAAUGAGGUAGGGUUAGGAAACGCACUACCUAAGAAGUGAGGGCUCAAAGGCACACUCGAAAUGAGGUAGGGUUAGAAAACGCACUACCUGAGAAAUGGUGGCUCAAAGACGCACACAAAAGGAAGUGAGGGCACAAAGGCGCACUCAAAAUGAGAUAGGGUUAGAAAACGCACUACCCAAAAGGUGAUGAUGAAACACCGAUCUGACAAUGUUGAAAAUAAUGCAUUAUGAUCAAUAUGCAUGUAUACUUACCUGAGAAAUAUAGGUCCCCAUUUCUUCAUGGUGUCUUUCUUUUCUCAAAAGUUGGAGUGUUGGCAGUAAACUUCAACGACUUUUUCUCUCUUGCUUACUCGAGUCAUCUCUUGUGAUCUUGACCUCUGGGAAGGGCUUGAUAUCCUCAUACUUCUUUGUCCUCCACCCUUUAUCUCAAGGGUUGCCAAUUUUGCCUGGUAUUUUCUUAGAAAGGGAAUCAUGAAGCCAGCCCUACCAGGAGUUUUUGAUUGCCCCCCAGCUUGAUCAUGCCCUUAAGUAUUCAAUUCGGGUUUGGGGAUGAGGCUAUGUGAAGGAAGGUUUGACAAGGAGUUGUUUUCAUGCAGAAAUUUUGGAAUUUCAAAGCUAUUCCAGACACAAAAAUCAUUUUGACAUCGAUUCAAAGCAAAUUUAUUCUGAAGAAAUUCAAGUAAUUCCUAUGGAGAGGUUUUCAGAAAUGAUGAAAACUUUUUAUUUGCUUUUGGUGAAAAAUACGAAGUGACAUCUGGUUUGUCAAAAAAGGUUUAAAUUUCAAUUUGAGGGUUAUUGAGAACCGAUUUUCAAAGCAUUUAUUUUAUUUGCAUGAAUAAUGAUUUAGGUCGCAUGAGAAAGCACUGUCUACCGAUCCAGAUUGCUUGCCUUUGAUCAGAAAGGGCUUGAUUAGGCACGUAAUAUAGGCUUGGGCUAUUGGUUAUGAAGAAUGGGAUAUUUGUAAGCUCAAAAGGUGUUUAAGGGAUUUCAAGACUAAGGAUCACUUGUGCUUGUUUCUUGACCUUUUGUCAUUUGAAUGUAUUUCCAAAAUGGUUUAUCAUGCCCCCCAGUGUUGGGCUUGGGUUUUUCAUUUUUUUUUUCACUUGGUUGAGCAUCAUCAUAUCAGCUAUUUUUGUGAGAAGCUCAAUUCUUUUGUAUCCUUUGGAUUUUUUUUUCAUGCCCCCCAGUUUUGUUUGGGCAUCUUUGAUCAUUUCAUGCCCCCUAGUGUUAUUUUAUGCACUUUUCAGUAUUUAGGGUUUUGAUAUAUCUCAAGCACUUGCCCCCCCAGUGUAGGGUGUGAUCCUAGCCAAGGUUAUUUUCAAAAACUUUACUAGGCUCAAAAAGGACUGCAAAGGAUAUAUUUUUAGCUUCGUGAAAGGAUUAUCAAAGAUGGCCUUUUUUCAUCUCAAAGGCAUGCAUUUAGGAUCGGUAAGCCUUGCUUUCAUGUGAGUAUGCAACGUGAUUUCUCAUUAUACAUUCAAAUAAAACUCAACUUUGGAGUCACCUCACAGUGUUUUUUUUUUGUUUUUGUUUUUUUUUUCAGGUUUUCUCGAAGUAUGGUUACUUUUCUAAGGAAUCACUUGAAUUUCCAGAACUUGUUUGUUUGAACAAACACCAAAAUGAUUUUUGUUUCAUAACAAAAACUUCGAAUUCCCAAAAAAUCUUUGUGAACAUGUGAAAUCAUGUAUAGUUUUGGAAGAAAAGGGAAAACAUCCGUGGUUUCGUGAGUAAAAAUUAUACUCAGUGUGUUAUUUGUAAGAAACAACAAGAAAAAUGAAGGUAUGUCCUGAACACAGGAAAACACAUGAUUUUAUUAACAAGAAGCCUCAUUUGACAGAGAAAGUCUUAUGGCAUUAUGAGCCAAAUUACCAAUAAAAACUGGAACAUGGUGAAACAAAAAAAAUCAAGAAGUUUUGCAGGCAUGAUCAAACAGAGGUAGUUAUUUUUGGACAGAGCAAGAACAGGCUCCAUUCUGCAACUGUGAUGCAAUUCCCCUUCGGUCAGCCUUCCCACAAAAGCUUUUGUAGAAAUGUUGGAUUGUGUUAAGGCCCUUGACCAUGUUUGCCUCUUAUUUCUUCGGGCUGAGUCGUUGUUGGGGACUGAUUGAAAGUGACGGGAUGAGUAGAAGGACCUUCCUCAGAGGUAUUUCCUAGUAUUUGCUCGAGUAAGCUAAAGGCGAGCCACGCUUGUCUUCAGAGACUCCAACUCUUCUUGAAAAUGGGCUUCAUGGUGAGUACACUCUUCAUCUUCCAUGUUUCUCGUUCAGAUUCAGGUGUUGUAAACUCUUUGGGGACCUAUUUUUCAACUUGAUACAUGUGUGUAUGGAUGCAAGUGUAUGUACAUGCGUAUUAGGGAGUUCAUACUCUAAGGAUAGGUUUGGGCCAUUACAUGAUGGGUGGCUUUCUACCUGGUCUCAUAAGGGUCUCUUGCUGUCCCAGUGAUCACCCUCGUGAAGGCAAUAUAGGGGCUCAGUAGGUAAUGGGAUGGCAUAUGCACCAAUCAUUACCAGUCUAAGCUCUCAGCGAAGAGUUGGGGUUUACACAAACUUAAACCUUGACUAAAAGUUGUAAGGUAAGCUGCUAGUCCCCCACUUAACCUAAAGUUUUUUUUCAGUAUAAUUCCCCUCAAAUGUGAAUGAUGCAUGAAAUAAUUUUAUACAAUGCAUGAACAAAUAUGUACAAAAUUUAAAGCGUAUGAGCAAAUGAGAAUGAAAAUUAACAAUAACACAAAACCAAACAAUAAAACACGAUGAUCAGAUAAAAAACAAAGCUUAGUCCACAAGGUCCCAGUGGAGUCGCUAUUCUGUCGCACGUGUGCGGUGUCGCGGCAAUUGCCCACCCACACUCAAUGUGUGUGUGUAUCUGGAAAAUAUAGGGAGACAAGGAAUUCUUAUCUCUUAUCAGUGUAAAAUGGAAUGGGAGUCGCCACCUAGUAUUUUGGUCACUAGGAACCCUAACUGGUCUCAGAGAUCGGGUACGGAGACUGGUUGCGUAAAGAAAAGGUAUUAGCACCCCAAAUACGCCCUACCUAAGGUAAGCUGCAUUGUUUUAUUUGUCUGAUCAAAAUCUAAGGUUUGGUAGCGUUUUCUAAUUGUUGGUCCUGUCUGUCUAAGAUUCAAGAAAAGCCCUCCUCAAUAAGGAGGUUCUUAUCUUAUGGGGUAAGACCUAACCGUUCUAAUGUCUAUAAAAGAACUAUUGUUUUAAUAUCGGGAAUACGCUUUACGUGUAAAUUCGUAAUCCCUGAUAUAAAAAGAAACAAAAUAAUUUUUUUUGGAUUUUUUUGAAAUAUUGGCCAAAUUCUCGUGACUUUAAUAAACUGGUUAUUAAAGCCAAAAUGCAUGAUAAAACAUUUUUUUUUGAAGUUUUCUUUGUUGUAUGAAAAUAGAAUAUGAGUUUUUUAGCUUUGAGAGAUUUGCCCGUAUGCAUGAAAACAAAAACAUGUUUUUUUUUAAUGUUUUGACGAAAACCAGGUAUUUUAAUACCGAAUGUGUAUUUUUACGAUGUAAAAAUACAAACCAAUAUUAAGCAAAAUUUAGUAAAAAAAUACGUGGAAGAAUCACAAAUUUUCGAAAAUAUUAUUUAAAUUUUUUUUUUUCACCGGGCUGGACCCGGCCCCCUCAUUUUGGACUGUGCCGGACUUGUCCGGCCCAGUGAACAGUGGAGCACUCUCCACUGUUCACGCAGAACAGUGGAGAGCGACCGGAGAAGAAGCAAGAGAAGGAAACUGACCGGGCAGCGCUGGUGGCUCGCUGUGCUGGUCGCCGUGGUGCUGUUGUCGCGGUGGACGGCGGUGGUGGCAGACGGUGGUUCUUCUUCUUCUUCUCUCCUCUGCUUCGCUGCUUCUUCUUCCUCUGUUUCUAUUUUUUCAGUGUUUCUUCUUUUAUUUCUCACGGUGCAGGGCUGUUAUCAAUGACGGGGAGGACGGUGGCAGCUGUUGUUGGCGGCGCUGCUUCCAACGGCGAAGAGAGAGAAGCCGAAGAGAGAGAUUAUUGUUCUUCUCUUCUCCUCUGUUAUCUGUUUUUUUCCGUCCCCUGUGUUAUGUUCUUCUUUUUUUUUUCUGCUGGUGGUGGUGGCAGCGACUGGGACUGCGGACGGUGGCUAGGAAACCAGGUGGCAGCUGCUGUGAUGGUGGUUCUGCGGCGGUUCUGUCGGUGGUGGCUGGGAGGAAUGGUGGAGGCGCUGGUGGAGGUGCAACGGUGGCUCUUCUCCUCCCUCUUCUGUCUUGCUCUUUCACUCUCCUUUCCCCCUUCUCUUCCUUUUUUCUUCUGUUUUGCCUGAGCUCCUCUCCUCUCAAACAAACUCCUCCCCCCUGUUUUCUGUUCUCCCCUUUUCCCUUUUCAAAACUUUCCCGCCCCUCCUAUUUCUGCUUCUUUCCUUCUGUUUCGGCCUCCCUCUCCUUCUCCAAAAUUUUGCCCCCCGGUUCGUUCCUCUUUCUCAAAAAAAUCCCCCCCCAGUUUUCUGUUCUCUCCCCUGUAUUUAUAAGCAGCCGGAGGAGAGGUUCACCAUACCCUGUCCAAGUGCAGGGCAUGGUGGCGUGGGAGUUGCAGGGUAUGGUUGUGUAGGUGUGGGUAUGGGUCAUGCGGGAUUUUUGGGCAAGUUGGGUGGAGAGAGAGAGGGGAAGAAUAGCGGGAAAAAUUUUCAAAAAUCUCCUUCUCCCCUGUCUCUGCAUUUGCAGGGGAGAAGAAGCUGCAUGGUGCCGUUCAAAACGGCACCGUGCAGUUUUUUUUUUUUUAAGAAAAGGUAAACAAAAUUUGGGAGUGACCCAAAAUUGGGUUAUGACAACAUCCCUCCUCAAGGUGGUGCAUAGAUGUCACACAUGCUUAGCUUGUCAAGACAACUCAUAAACACUUUGUUGGAUACUAUUUGGUAAGAACAUCAACAAGUUGAAAUUCUAGCUUCAAGCUUGUCGCACCCGACAUCGCGGCGGCCUUAAAAAUUUAUUAAAUCUUUGGAAAGAACGGAUUUCUGGCAUCCUGUUCUUUAAUGAGGAUAUUCUUUGUUUAAGGAGUCGCCACCUAGUAUUAUGGUCACUAGGAACCCUAACUGGUCAACAGAGAUUCUAUGGUACGAGACUGGUUACGCAAAAGGGAAGACAUUAUCAUCCCUUAAGCGUCCUGCCUAAGGCAGGCUGCAUUGCUGACUUUGUCAUAAAUUGCUAAUGUUUUGUUGGUUUAUGCUACGGUGGUUUUGCGUGUAAUAUUCCUGACUAUGGCGUCAGUGAAUAUUUAACUACAGAUAUUUCCAACUCUGGCGUUGGUAAAUAUCAUGUAGCUAUAAAAACAAAAUAAAUUUAAAUCAGUUAUUUUUUUAUUCCUGACUCUGACGUCAGUGAAUAAACAAAUCAAAUAAAUUUAUUUUUACGCAUCACAUAAAAAAUAAAAUAAAUUUAAAUCAGUAUAUUUUUUUUUAUUCCCGACUCUGGCGUCAGUGAAUAAAUAAAUAAAAAUAAAUUUAUUUUUACGCAUGCACAUAUUUUUUUAUUUUUUUCUAGCUAAAUAAAAUACAACGAAUAAAAAUAAUAUAAAUUUAAACCGGUAUUUUUAUUCCUGACUCUGGCGUCAGUGAAUAAACCAAUAAAUUUACAUUAUUUUUAUUCAUGCAUACACAUUUUUUUAUUUUUUUAUUUUUCUGCUUUUUAAUUUUUUAUUUUUGGGCUGGGUUGGGCUAAAUCCAGCCCAGCAUAUAUAUUGGUGGCUAGGCUGAGCUCAGCCCCAUAGGGGCUAGGCUAGGCCCAGCCAGCCCGGCCCGGUCACUGGCCCAAGCCAGUGACCGGCUGAUGCACGCGUGAAGCACUUUCACGCGUGCAUCAACAGUGCGAAGGUAAUUAAAUUACCUUCGCACUGUUCAAAUUCAAUUUGAACACAGAAGAGCAAAAACAAAUGGAAACGGGCGCACCUGUUUCUGGAGAUUGUGAAGAAGGCUGCAAUGUUGGUGGGGUUCGACUGCUUUCCGUUUCUGGCGAUGGUGAAGAAGGAUGCAAUACUGGUGUGGGUUUGAAUGCUUUCUGUUUCUGGUGAUGGUGAGGAAGGCUGUUGGUGACUUUCGCCUUUUCCUUCUGUUUUCCCGGAAACGAGAACGAAGAUGCUGGUUUCUGUGGGUAUUGAUUUUUGGGUCGUUUUCUGCAGGGAUGAAGGCAACGGCAGAGCUGAUUCCUCUCUCUGUGUAAAUUUUGUAUGCUCUGUUUUACUCUGUUUUUUUUUACUCGGUCUUUGCUCUGUUUUUUUUUUUUUGGGUCUCCUCUUCCCCCUGGUUCUGUCAAUUGUUGGGUAUUUAUAGGGACCAAUCUUCCUCUCCCUCAGCCUCACGUCUCUCCUCCUGAUAAGCACGGCUGAAGGAGACGGUUUCUAUUAGGACUCGGACGCGAAGUGUAAUCCUUAUCUCGCCGGGUUGUGAUUAUCAUGAAGAUAAAUACUGCUUUUCUGUGUUUUGAAAGGACUAGGAUGCUGGUGUUUCACCCUUUCGUUUCCUUCUUUCCAGGCGGGUGUUUGGUGCUUUGGAGAUGAAGAUGACGGACAGCACGGUGUUGUUUUGGGGCUGAGAAUGGUUAUUUCCAAUCUGGUCCUUGAAGUUUCUAAAUCCUUGCAUUCAACCCCUGGUCUUUUAAUUUUCAAGAUUUACCCUCCUUAAAAUUAAUUUAAAAAUAAGUGGGUCAAAAUUAGGUUACAACAGUUGCCCCCUCUUUACAAUGCUUACGGUGCAAAUGCAUUAGAAAAUUUAUUUUCUUUUGACUUUGUAUAGUAAGUUUUGUAAAGAAGAAUAAUUGUGAAAACCCUUCCUCUUUUCAUCCUUUUCUUUUUUCUUUUUUUCUUUUUUUUUGAUUGAUUGGUUUUUUUUUAAAUGGUCUAAUUGUUCCAGGCGACCUGCCCGAUAAAGAAUAAAAUGCGAGGAUUUUUUUUUUGUGAUGGUAUAUUGUAAUGGGUUACCGGCCCAGAUGGUCACAUUGUAAUGGGUUACCUGCCCAGUAUAGGAUGGUAUAUUGUAAUGGGUUACCGGCCCAGUUGGUCACAUUGUAAUGGGUUACCUGCCCAGAUGGUCACAUUGUAAUGGGUUACCUGCCCAGAUGGUAUAUUGUAAUGGGUUACCUGCCCAGAUGGUCACAUUGUAAUGGGUUACCUGCCCAGAUGGUCACAUUGUAAUGGGUUACCUGCCCAGUUGGUAUAUUGUAAUGGGUUACCUGCCCAGAUGGUCACAUUGUAAUGGGUUACCUGCCCAGUUGGUCACAUUGUAAUGGGUUACCUGCCCAGUGGAAAAUAUAUGAGGAUUUUUUUUUUUUAAUAAGACAUGAUAGGGCUCGAAGGCACAUUAUUUAAUAGAUGGAAGCUCGAAGGAAAUGAGGGCUUGAAGGCGCACUCAAAAGAAGGUAUGAUAGGAAAUGCACUACCUUUGAUGGUCGAGGGCUCGAAGGCGUGCUCGAAUAGAGGUAGGAUAGGAAAAGCACUACCUUUGAUGGUCGAGGGCUCGAAGGCGUGCUCGAAAAGAAAUAAGACGAGGGCUCGAAGGCGCGCUCGAAUUGAGGUAGGAUAGGAAAUGCACUACCUUUGAUGGUCAAGGGCUCAAAGGCGCGCUCGAAAAGAAAUAAGACGAGGGCUCGAAGGCGUGCUCGAAUGGAGAUAAGACGAGGGCUCGAAGGCGCGCUUGAAUGGAGGUAGGAUAGGAAAUGCACUACCUUUGAUGGUCUAGGGCUCGAAGGCGCGCUCGAAAAGAACUCAAAAGGAGGUAGGAUAGGAAAUGCACUACCCCAGGAGUGGAAACUGAAAGGUGGUGGAAAAAUAGAGAGAUUUUUCAGGUGGCCUAAUUCUCAUGGGCGACCUGCCCAGGUUGAAAAAUUCUCAAAAGUGAAAAUUUUUCAAAAGCAAUUUCAAUGUUCGCCAUUUCAAGUUGGCCUUCCGCUUGAUGGAUUCCGUUAGAAUUUUCUCUAAUAAAAUUUGCAAAACUCAUUGUCCAAUGUCUCAAAGUUUAAAUGAUAUGCAUGCAUCUUUACCUGAUUUGAAAUAUAGGCCCCCAAUUUCUUCUUAGUCUUCUCGUUGCUUGGUUGGUGAGAUCUUGCUAUCUGAUUUGAGUCAUCUUUGUCGCUUGGCUUUCUAGCCCACUCGAGUUAGCCCAUAUAAGACUUUUUCCAGAUUUGUUUGCACAACUCAGCCUUUGUGGUACCCAUCAUGACCCACAUGCUUGCUAAAGAUUUUCGGACUCGUCAAAUAAUUUGAGAGGAUCAUUCAUUACCCCUCGUCUCACUGCUAAAAACAUUCGGUGUCACUAGCUGAAAGGAUCAAACUGUCUUUUAUAAACCAAAAUGCCAACUUGUCUUGUUGUAAGGGAUGAUAGAUUUUCCUUAAACACAAUGUUGCUUGUACUGGUCAUUGCCCCCAAAUGUGCUAUGUCACUGACUUAGAUGAAUAAUGGUUUUAAGAGGCCAUUCUCUCAUUUGGUGAAGGAAUAUGGGUCUAGAAUGAAUCUUGAAAUCUUGAUCUUGUCUUUUGACAACAAAAAUUGUUUUGAUAUGAAUUUAAAACAAUUUGCUUUUAAAAUCUUGCAACUCCUUGGUUAUUAUCUUUCUUGGAAAAGAGAUUAUUUGCUCUUGUGUUUGGCAAUGAGGUCUUCGAUGAAAAUACAUCAUGAGAUGACCUUUUGUUUCAGAGUGAAGGGCUUUGAGCAAAGCUCGAGGUUUUGUACGAGAAAAACUUGUCCUUUUUUGAUAUUUAUUUGAAUAUUAUUUUAUCAGCAUGAAUAAUAAUGAGUAGUUAAUCCUUGAUGUCAUGAAUCUAUGAAAAAAGUAUUCUUGCAUUUUGAGAGCAUUGUUUAUUUUCUAGAUUGCUUGCUUGCUUGAUUAGAAAGGACUUCUACAGGCACGUAAUGUAGGCUGUGGUUUUUGGCUAUAAAAAGAAAAGGAUAUAAGGCUCAAAGAGUGUUUCAGGGUUUCAAAGACUGAAGAUCACGAUCAAUAGUUUGACUUUUGACGUCAUUCAUAUUUUCUUUUGCCGCUCUUCUUUGAUUUGCCCCUCUCUUUUUUUUCUUUUUCAUUGCCUUGCUAGAGCAUACUCACUUUAUCAUGGUUAUCACUUUUUCUUGUGAUUUGGGCAUGCCCCCUAGCAUUUGAGUUUUUUGGGCUCUUUUGCCUUUUGGCUUUCUCACGGCUUUAUUAUCUUUCUUGAUCAUUGAAAUUUCACUUGCCCCCAGUGUGGGGUGUGAUCCUAGUCGGGAUUUUUUUCAUGAAAGGAAAAUUAUUCAGGCUCAAAAAGGGAUCGCAAGGGAUGUACUUAUUUCAGAAUGUGAAAGGAAUAACAAAGAUGACCUUUCCUCAUUUCAAGCGCAAGCAGUUAAGAUCAAUAAACUUUGACCUCAUCUAGUGUGAUGGUUUGGUCUUUGCAAAGAUGCAUUUCAAGGGUCAUGAGCAACAAGUUCACUACAUACCAUUAUUCAUACAUUUAAAAACACAUGAUUCAAGAGUCGUGGGGUAAAGGUGUUUAUUUAUUUCUUUUUUUUUUAGUUUGGUCAUCUCUAUGAAGGAGUUGCUUGAUUCACUUGUCAUUCUACAGGUAGAAUGUCAAAAAUAUUAUUUUUGAAUAAACAUCAAAUUAUUUUUUGAAAUCAAAAUGCCAGAUCAAUUUUUCAAAACUCCAACAGGGAAACUGAUUUUGGUAAAAGAGAUGAAUUGCAUCUAUGAGAUUGUGCAAGGCUUCAAAGAUGUGUUUGUGAGUCUUUAUAAGAAAGCUCUCUCAGAAAAAUGAAUAAAGCUUAAUCGUAAACACGAUUGAAUGACAAACUCAUUAUUUUCAUUGAAACUUUGGAAAAUUCAACAACAAAGAACUUAUGACAACAUCUUGGGCUAUGAAUGAUAACAUAUAUAAGGGCUAAACAUUUAGCGAUCAUUGAUUGGAAUUUCUAGAAUCUUUCAAUCAUUCAUUCUCCUCGAUAAGGGCAUCUUUUCAACAGUUAGUUGAAGUCAUAUGUAAAAACGGUAAGUGCCUUGGCAACCCCCUUCAGUGUCCUUUCCCUUUUCAGUGAAACCUUUUUUUUCAGUCGGAUCAGCAAUUUUACCUAACCCAAUGGUUUGUUCAAUCCUCUCAGCUAUAACAACCAGGUCAGUAAAAUGUUGUGCAGAGCUUCUAACCAAGUAUUCAAAGUAUGGAGCUUUAAAGGUGUUGGAAAAUAAACUGAUCAUUUCUUUUUCCAACAUGGGAGGGUUAACUUGUGUAGCUAGCUCACUCUAUCUUCGGGUGUAUUCCCUUAUGGACUCCUUUUUGUCCUUCUCCAUAGCUUGUAAGCUUAAAUGAUCAGGGCCCACGUCUAUAUUGAACUUAUAUUGCCUCAUGAAGGCAUCAACUAAAUCCUUCCAUUUUUUAACCUUGGUAUUGUCCAACCGCAUAUACCAAGUGAGGGCACCAUCACUCAAGCUGUCUUGAAAGAAAUGAAUCAGCAGUUUCUUAUCAUCAACCACUUUAGCCAUUUUGUUGCAGUAUACUUUGAGAUAAGUUAUAGGGCAUUGAGUUCCCGUAUAUUUAACAAAUUCUGGCACUCUAAAAUUUUGGGAAUGACAACGUUGGGCACCAAACACAUUUCAACAACCUUUAUAGGAUCAUAUAGGCGAAUUCCCUUAAAUGCCCUCAUCCUUUGCUCUAGGGCAAUGAAUUUGUUCAGAUCAUCUUCUUUUACCAUCUUGCCUUUUUAAGAUUCCUUCUCAUUUGCCCCCAGAUUCUGUGGAGUGAAGGGAUUUACGAGCAUAGGUUCAGGCUGAGCUAUAUGUGUUGCUUUUCCGGAUUUCUCUCUCAAAGCUUGUUCGAGUAGACUAGUAAGCCUUGCGACUUCUUUUUUAAGAUUGUCCACCUCUUUUUGGUGUUGGGCUUCCAACUGGGCUCUUUCUUCGUUUUCCAUUUAUUUUUUUCUCAAAUGAUUGUUAUGGAUACGUUUCGGUUGGGGACCUAUAUUUCACCUGUUAUAUGCAGGAUAUGACAAUCUAUAAGCAAAUGUAUGAGAUGCAUGAAUGUGAAUGCAACAUAUUGGAUAUAGAUUCGCUCUUUGUUGGUGACAUAUGGCCGUCAUUCUUUGGAUAUGUGGGUUGAGCUUGAACUUGAUAUCAUUGUUGUGAUGCCGAGAAGAGAUCUGCUUAGCUUUUUGACAUUUGGGCUUUCCGCCAUAUACAUAUUUUUUUGCAUUGAAAAAUGUGGGUCUCAACCCUUUUAUUACUUAUUCAGAAGCUUACAAUGAAAAAUUAAUCUAAUCUAUUACAGGAGAAAAAACACUGCCUCUAGUAGCUAUUGCUUUUAAAAAAAGAUCGGUGUUAUCCAUGCUUCUUCGAUAUUUCAUUAUAUCUCCUCCCACUUGACGAGCUUCCACUCGUAAUAAAUGGGCUUCUGCAGCUGCUCGAUCAAUCUGAUCUUGUAGUUCCCUUAUCCUCUCAGUAUGAAUCAAGUUGUUUCUAGACAAAAAGUUAUUGGCAUCAUCCAAUGUUUGAUUAUGUUGCUUCAUCAUUUUUUGGUUUCCUGUAAGUUGUACGGUCUUCAAUUUUUCUUUGUCCAGCUUAGAUCUCAAUGCUUCUGCUUCAGCCUUAUGAUUGUUCAACUCUGCUUUUUGUUCUUCAUGAAUUUUAGUUAAAGCCUCAGCUCUUCCCAAUUGGUCUUUAAACUUAACAAUGUCCGCCCGACGCAUUUUCAAUAUAGCUUGUGUCUUGAUGGCUAACUCUUCCCAAUGCUUAGCUUUUGCCAUAUAAUAUGUCAUGUCCUGAUUAAUUUUUCUUUUUUGUUUCCAAGUCAGCCUUUGCCUUUAUCAAGUCUUGACCCACAGAGUCCCUUUCUUCUUCAGCUAUUUUCCUUACACCCUUUUCUUUGGCUAGCUGCCGCUCUAAUGACACUCUUUGUUCUUCCUUUGCUUUAAGCUCAGCUUGUAACGAUUUUACUUGUUUUCUUAAUUCUUCUUCACAGUUCACUCUUUUCCUACGAAUGCCCACAGAUUCAGAAACUUCUGCCAUAUAAGAGACUCCUCCAUUACGCCAUUCGGGAUACUUUUCACUAACUGUAGGAUUCCUCAAUCCGGUCUCCUUUUUCACCAGUACCAAAGAUUUCCAAUCCUGUUUAAUGCUCUCCAGCAUCUCCAUGGUAGCUCCUUUGUAUACUCCAGUAAAUUGAGCUAGACCAACCGUUCUUGGGAUGCUUUGUAUGCCCCCAAAUUGUCUUGCAACUAAAGCAGACGCAUAACUAAUAUAUCCAGUCACUCCAAUCAAAGGUACCCAAGGCUUCUUCCCACAACCCAUUAAGUACAUUACAUUUCUCAUCCAAGGAGCUCUCCAAUUAAAAUUGCUUCGUGGGAUUCCUGGUAAUUUUACCCUCCAGUCAUCUUCAGAAAAAAAUUUCCAUUCAUUUGAUACAAAUAACUCGAGUGGCCUUUGAUCAAACCACCAAAAAUUUCGGAAUAUUGGUGUCUUGGAUUCUAUGUGACUUACCAUCCAAAUGAACAAUAAUGGAACACAACAUCUCAUAGAACCUUUUCCGGACUUUUUGCAAUGAUUGAGGGACAAAAAAGUUUCAGCCAAGAUCGCAGCAGAAGGAUUAAUUUUGGUCUUCUCAUACUCAACAAACAAAUUGGCCGCCUCUACACUGAUAAUUCCAGCAGUUGAAGGACACAAAAUCAACCCAAAUAUUCCCAAAGCCAAUAUUCUGUAUACCUCUAAUUUAGCACAUGGAUUAGACUUUUUAGCAAUCAACAACUCCUCUAGUCGUUUCCAUCUCAAACCCCCAGAAUCAUUUUUCUCUCUAUAUAAGCUCAUUUGCUGGAUUCCCAAUAGCUUAGCAAGUUCCUCUACAGUAUCCUCAAUCCUUUGAUGAAAGUACACCUUAUGUAUAUCCUCAGGAAAUUCUAUCAAAACACCGUAUUCUUCAAGGGUAGGAACCAUAUCGACAUCCCCAAAUGUAAAACAUCGAUAAUCCGGAUCCCAGAAAUGAAUUAGGGCUUUUAUGGCUAAUGGCAGUACUGGAACAUUUAGAAGAUGCAAAAUUCUCCCAUAUAUCUUAGUAAAUUCUGUCUCAUCAGCCAAGUAUUUGGUGAGUGGAAGCAAACGAAUGGCAUCAUUUAUUACACAUCUCACAUCUUUUAGCAGCGGUAUCCCACUGUCAUCCAGUCUAGGGCAGUCUCCCUCAGUCAUAUGCAAUGAUUCAGAUUCAAGCCCAUACUCAACAGUGGUGACUUCUCGAUUAACUGCCAUUAUGUCACCCAAAAAAUAAUCCUGUAAUGAAAAUGAUGUAUGUUAAGCUUGCCUUAGUGAAACUUACAUAGGGAACAACCUAAAGGGUAAGUUCUAGUCAUUAAAUGCUCAGGGUAGGUUGCUAACUAGUCUUUAAAAGGUCUCUCGCAUGCUCAGUGAUCUUCCUCGAAAGGUUGAUGUGAGGCUUACAAGUAGCGUGAAGAUAGAGGCCCUGAAUGAUAUCAGUUUAGGCAUACCAACCACUAUCGAGUAAACAAUCAAGCAAAAGUUGGAUGGUUUCACGAGUCUUACCCAGGCUAAAGCCAUUGGGGUACCGCUACUCUCCCACUUAACAUAAAGUCGAUAUAGCAGAUGUUUAUUAUGAAAUGCGUGGUGUGUGAAGGCAUAAAUCCAUAUCCAAUAUAUGUAUGAUGACAUGAAUAAAUAUGGAUACUAAAGCUGUAACAAUAAAUAAAAAAAAAUAAAAAUAAAAUAAAAAAAACCAAACAACACAACAAGCAUUUGUAGCAAUUUUAACAAAUAAAGACAAAGCUUAGUCUUAGUCCCCAGUGGAGUCGCCAUUCUGUCGCACCCGACAUCGCGGCGGCCUUAAAAAUUUAUUAAAUCUUUGGAAAGAACGGAUUUCUGGCAUCUUGUUCUUUAAUGAGGAUAUUCUUUGUUUAAGGAGUCGCCACCUAGUAUUAUGGUCACUAGGAACCCUAACUGGUCAACAGAGAUUCUAUGGUACGAGACUGGUUACGCAAAAGGGAAGACAUUAUCAUCCCUUAAGCGUCCUGCCUAAGGCAGGCUGCAUUGCUGACUUUGUCAUAAAUUGCUAAUGUUUUGUUGGUUUAUGCUACGGUGGUUUUGCGUGUAAUAUUCCUGACUAUGGCGUCAGUGAAUAUUUAACUACAGAUAUUUCCAACUCUGGCGUUGGUAAAUAUCACGUAGCUAUAAAAACAAAAUAAAUUUAAAUCAGUUAUUUUUUUAUUCCUGACUCUGGCGUCAGUGAAUAAACAAAUCAAAUAAAUUUAUUUUUACGCAUCACAUAAAAAAUAAAAUAAAUUUAAAUCAGUAUAUUUUUUUUUAUUCCCGACUCUGGCGUCAGUGAAUAAAUAAAUAAAAAUAAAUUUAUUUUUACGCAUGCACAUAUUUUUUUAUUUUUUUCUAGCUAAAUAAAAUACAACGAAUAAAAAUAAUAUAAAUUUAAACCGGUAUUUUUAUUCCUGACUCUGGCGUCAGUGAAUAAACCAAUAAAUUUACAUUAUUUUUAUUCAUGCAUACACAUUUUUUUAUUUUUUUAUUUUUCUGCUUUUUAUUUUUUUAUUUUUGGGCUGGGUUAGGCUAAAUCCAGCCCAGCAUAUAUAUUGGUGGCUGGGCUGAGCUCAGCCCCACAGGGGCUGGGCUAGGCCCAGCCAGCCCGGCCCGGUCACUGGCCCAAGCCAGUGACCGGCUGGGCAAACGGCUGAUGCACGCGUGAAGCACUUUCACGCGUGCAUCAACAGUGCGAAGGUAAUUAAAUUACCUUCGCACUGUUCAAAUGCAAUUUGAACACAGAAGAGCAAAAACAAAUGGAAACGGGCGCACCUGUUUCUGGAGAUUGCGAAGAAGGCUGCAAUGUUGGUGGGGUUCGACUGCUUUCCGUUUCUGGCGAUGGUGAAGAAGGCUGCAAUACUGGUGUGGGUUCGAAUGCUUUCUGUUUCUGGUGAUGGUGAGGAAGGCUGUUGGUGACUUUCGCCUUUUCCUUCUGUUUUCCCGGAAACGAGAACGAAGAUGCUGGUUUCUGUGGGUAUUGAUUUUUGGGUCGUUUUCUGCAGGGAUGAAGGCAACAGCAGAGCUGAUUCCUCUCUCUGUGUAAAUUUUGUAUGCUCUGUUUUACUCUGUUUUUUUUUACUCGGUCUUUGCUCUGUUUUUUUUUUUUGGGUCUCCUCUUCCCCCUGGUUCUGUCAAUUGUUGGGUAUUUAUAGGGACCAAUCUUCCUCUCCCUCAGCCUCACGUCUCUCCUCCUGAUAAGCACGGCUAAAGGAGACGGUUUCUAUUAGGACUCAGACGCGAAGUGUAAUCCUUAUCUCGUCGGGUUGUGAUUAUCAUGAAGAUAAAUACUGCUUUUCUGUGUUUUGAAAGGACUAGGAUGCUGGUGUUUCACCCUUUCAUUUCCUUCUUUCCAGGCGGGCGUUUGGUGCUUUGGAGAUGAAGAUGACGGACAGCACGGUGUUGUUUGGGGCUGAGAAUGGUUAUUUCCAAUCUGGUCCUUGAAGUUUCUAAAUCCUUGCAUUCAACCCCUGGUCUUUUAAUUUUCAAGAUUUACCCUCCUUAAAAUUAAUUUAAAAAUAAGUGGGUCAAAAUUAGGUUACAACAAAGCUUCUCUUUGAUAAAAUGUCUAUCAAUCUCUAUAUGUUGUCAUGUUGUCCUAUUAUGUUGAACAAGAUUAUGGGCAAUCUCUAUAGCUGAUGUAUUAUCACAAAUCUUCGAAAGAAUCCCAAAUCUUCUAUCAAGUUCUUAACCAUAAUAAUUCACAUACUCCAAUUGACAUGCAAUUAGAGUGAAAGUUUCUUGAUAAUCAACCCCAUAAGAUUGUGUGUACCCUUUGAUGACAAGUCUCGCCUUGUAUCUUUCAAUAGUUUCAUCUGUAUUGUGUUUGACAGUAAAGACCUAUAGACAUCCAACAGUUUUUUUUCCUGUUGGAACAGUAACAAGCUAUCAUGUAACACUUCUUUUUAGAGCCUCCAUUUCCUCCGCCAUAGCUAUAGUUCAAUGAGAAUUUUCCAAAGCUUUUUGUAAUGUACUAGGAAUAGAGACAGAGGAUGAUUUACACAUAUAAGAUGCAUAUGAUGCAGACAACUUGUGAGAUGAGAUAUGGUUACUUAUUAGGUAUUUUACAUUGGCUUUUGUAUCGGAUUCAUAUUUAGCCGGGGGAACCCCAUAGGUAGAACGUGGUGGAAGUACAUGAUGAACAAGGUUAGAUGGCAAACUAUUUUCAGGAGAAUUUUUGAGUUGUACCUGCAGUGUUGGUGAUGACUCUAGAGAGGAGUUGACCGGUGCAAUAAUAAGUAUUGUACUAUCUAGAAGUUGUUGAGAGUUGUCACAAUGAUCAUUAGAGUUUUGUGAACAAAGAUUAGCAGUAGUAGGUGUGUCCAUAAAUGUGUCUAUUGAAGAGGUGUUUUCAUCCGAUGAUCCAUUAUUAGGUAGAAUCAUUGAUUUUAUAUCAAAACACAAGACAUCAUUAUGAAUUGUAAGGUGUCGAACAUCUUCGGGAAAAGUAGGCUUUAAAUUUAUAACAGAGUAAUAAAACUUGGAUUCAUCAAAGAUAACAUCCAUAGCAUUUAUACCCUUUUUUACUAGACUCAUAACCAAUAAAGACACAUUUCAAUGCUCUUGACUUUAGUUUAUGCCUAAAAAUUGAAAGACACCCUAAUUUAUAAAAUGAAGUUUUAAACGCACAAGGCCUUCCAACAAUGAAUUAAGGAAUUGGGCAGGAAUUAUCCAACAUGGAGAAACCCACUCUAUGAACUUGCCAUCAGUGAUUGGCUUUGAGCCAAAUCUAAAUGAUCUCGAGUUCAAAAUAAAUUUAGUUCGGUCAACAAGCCCAAAUUGCACCCCAUUUUUUAAAAGGUGUGGAUGACCUUUGGUGUGCUUUUUAUUUUUAAAAAAGAGAAACAAAUGGGUCACAUUGGCUAUAAUGGUAGAUGAUGAGGUGCCUACUUAAGCACUAAGAGGUUUUUUUUUUAUUGAAAGUUUAAUCUUCAACCUAUUUUUAUAUAUAAAAAAUCUAAUAAAUACCAUAAAAACCUUUCUAAAUCAUUUAAUUAUUCUCAAACACACUAAAAUAACACAAAAAAAAAUGAAAAUCAACCAAAUAGAAAAUCUCUAAGCUAAGCCCAAUUGAUUUUUAUAAACAAGGUAAAGGUUUAAAACCAGUACAAUCAAAUCUUUAUUAUCAAAUAGAUUCCAUUGACACUAUAAACAAUGAGUUUUUUUGUUGAAAAAUAAUUCACCUGGUAACAUUUUCUUUUCUAGUUGUUUUUCAUUGAAUUUCUCUCUCAUCUUUCUAACAUAAAGAAUGAAUAAUGAACAAUAUGAAUUUUAUGAUCAAAAUAAAAAUUAUAGUGAAUUUAAAAGUGACCAUGUAUUUUCAUUUUAGUUUCCUAUUUCUUAAUUUUUUAUUUUCAUGAUAAUUUAAAAUAUAAUUUCAUCUAAUUAUAUUAUAAAAGGAUUCAUUGAUAGAAAAAAAAACAUUGAAAAUUAAAAAAGAAAAGGCAAGAGCUUCAUUCUUUAAAUAAACAAUGAAACCGACCUUGGUUUAAUUGUUGUUAUAUUUAUAUCCAAAGACGCUUUGAAAAUUAAUUAAAUAAAAGACUUUUAGCUUCUUCUUUUUUUGUAAUAAAAAAUAGAAGCGGAGUUUGGUAUUCCCUCCAAAGGUAACCCUUUGGUGUUUAUUGCAUAAGGUUCAUGCGAGAAGUGCCAUUUGAAUAUCUCGUUUGAAAAUGCCGUUCAAAUAAAGAUUUAUAAAAAAUAUAUAUAUUAUUUUUUGUAUAAUUUUUUAUUUUUUUAAUAUGUUAAUAUCACAAAUAUAUUUAAACACACACACACACACACACACACUUAUAUAUAUAUAUAUACACACACACACACAUACAUUUGAAUGAAAAAUAUUUUAAAAAAUAACUAUUAUUAUAUUCUAAAAAAAACAAAAUAAAGAUGGUAUCACCAUAUAUUAUUAAAAAAUAAUUUUGUUAGCAUCAUAUGCGCCUCACGCUUAAAAAGCCUAAAAUUAACCAUGCACUAAUAUUGAUACAAACAUUUUUUUAUACUAUUAAUAAUUAUCUUAUAACCCAAGUUGAGAAUAAUUGGGAGGCUUAACCUAAUGGUUAGCCAACCCUUUUUAUAUAUAUAUGUAGGGCAAUAUACAAUAGUAAUGGUAGAGGUUACCACAUAAGAGUAUGUCUACAAUAUUUUCUAUAUACAAUAUUUCAUAUAUAAGUACAUUCUAUAAUAUGCCCCCUCAAGCUGAGGGUGGAGGAUCAACCCGAAGCUUGAAACGAAAAACAGUAAACGAAGAAGUAGGAAGUGGCUUAGUGAAGACAUCGACAAGUUGAUCCUGGGAGGAAAUAAAACGAAUCUGAAUCUCCUUCUUUGCAACUCUAUCUCGGACAAAAUGAUAAUCGACCUCAACAUGUUUUGUGCGAACAUGAAAAACAGGAUUCACAGACAAAUAAGUGGCACCAAGGUUGUCACACCAGAUAAUAGGAGUAGAAGCAGACAGAAUCUGGAGAUUUGUUAAUAAAUACUGAAGCCAGAUAACCUCAGCAGUGCCAUCAGCUAAGGUUUUGUACUCAGCUUCAGUAGAAGAGCGAGCAACUGUGCAUUGCUUACCAGAUUUCCACGAAAUCGGCGUCUGACCAAAAAACACAAGGUAACCACCCGUAGAUUUUCUGUCCUCAACACUGCCUGCCCAAUCUGCAUCUGUAAAACCAUGUAAGGCAAAAGAAGAACUGUGAGUAAUAUGUAAGCCAUGUGAUGUCGUACCCCGAAGAUAACGCAAGAUGCAUUUCACGGCAGCCCAAUGAGAAUCUGUAGGUGCAUGCAUAAACUGACAGACUCUAUUAACAGCAAAGCAAAUAUCUGGGCGCGUAAAAGUGAGAUACUGAAAAGCACCCACAAUUUGACGAAAGCGGGUAGUAUCAGAAAACAAUGGAUCGGGCAGAAUGAUAGCUUUGGAUGUAAAGAUAGGGGUAUCAACAGGUUUGCAAGAUAACAUACCAGCCCGAGUGAGGAUGUCAAGUAUAUAUUUAUGCUGGCGGAGCAUAAGACCCAUACUAGUAGACUGAACCUCAAUACCCAAAAAAUAAUGAACAGAACCCAAGUCGCGAAGCUUAAAUUCUGAGCUUAGUAGCUAAAUGAGGCGUGGGAGCAUAAGAGAGUUACUACCCGUAAAUAGAAUAUCAUCAACGUAGACCAGAAGAUAACAAAUAUCAGCACCAACAGAGAAGAUAAACAAUGAGGUAUCCACCUUAGAGGCACGGAAACCAAUAGAUAACAAGAAAUCAUUCAAACGAGUGUACCAAGCCUGGGGAGCCUGUUUUAAACCAUAUAGAGAUUUAUGCAAUCGGCACACAUGAGAGGGGAGAGCAUAAUCAACAAAACCUGGAGGUUGUUUCAUGUAGACCUCCUCGUCAAGAACACCAUUGAGGAAGGUAUUAUGGAUGUCAAGCUGAUGAAUUUUCCAACCACACGAAACUGCAAUGGAGAAGACUAAUCUGACGGUCGCCUGUUUGAUGACUGGACUAAAGGUUUCAGAGUAAUCAAUACCUUCUUGCUGAGUGAAACCUCUAGCAACCAGACGCGCCUUAUACCGCUCGAUGCUUCCAUCAGAUCUGCGUUUAAUCUUGUAUACCCACCGACUACCAACAACAUUCAUGAAGGGGUGAAACGACACUAAGGUCCAAGUUCUGUUUGCGCAUAAGGCCUGAAUUUCCUCACGCAUAGCACUAUGCCACGCCACAUAUCUGUUAGCAUCAUUAAAAACAAGUGGCUCAUGAGAGGGAGGAGAAACUACCCAACUGAAGGAGACAGCAGAGGCUGCGGCAGUCGCUGUGGACAGCGCUGUCUUGGGCUGCCUUGGACGAAGAACCAUGUGAUGUUGAUGAGCAGCUGGGCAUGGAGAAGUGUGACCUGUACUUGGAAGAUGCUGAAGAGGAUAUGAUGAGAGGUCUACACAGAGCUGCAGACCAGCUGGAGAAGCAGUGGAGGGAUUGGUCUGCACUGCAGACACUGGUGAGGCUACUGGAGAACCGGGUUGCUCUGUUGCAGCAGACUUGAGAACAUGCACAUACGGUGAUGGAGAACUUGUACCUGCACAAUGAUCAUUGGAAAGACAAGCAUAUGGUGACAGUAUGGCAGUGUGGGAUGGUGAUGAAGGGGUGGCAGAAUCUAUGGGCAAAGGGGUAGUCUGGUGGGGUGCGGCAGAUGGCAGAAUUGGGUUGUGGUUUGGGCCAGUUUGGUAAGUAGUAGGUUGAAAGGAUGGAGGAGGGUUCAAGGAUGGAAGAUAGGUAGGUGGGGUGGGAGGUACCGGUGAGGAUGUUACCUGUUCAGACUUCGCAAAAGGAAAGACAAUUUCAUGAAAACGAACAUGACGGGAGACAUAAAUACGAUCAGACUCUAAGUCAAGACAACGAUAACCAAGAUGGGAUGAGCUAUAACCUAAAAACACACAAGGAGAAGACCGGAAAUCUAAUUUAUGAGCAUGAUAUGGACGCAAAAAAGGAAAACAAAGACACCCAAAAGUACGUAGGAAGUUAUAAUCAGGAGUGCAUCGAAACAGACACUCAAACGGAGAUGUAUUUUGGAGAACAAGAGUAGGCAUGCGGUUAAUAAGGUAGACCGAUGAUUCAAAAGCAUAGUUCCAAAAUCGCAAUGGGGCACUACACUGGCCUAAAAGGGUUUGGCUAGUUUCGACAAUAUGUCGAUGACAACAUUCAACAGUGCCAUUUUGUUCAUGAGUAUGAGGACAAAUUAAUCGAUGAUGAAUACCAAUGGUCUGAAAAAAUUUAUUUAAUUUACGAUAUUCACCGCCCCAAUCAGUUUGAACAGAUUUAAUUUUAAGAGAAAACUGACGCUCAACAAGUGUUUGAAAACGUUGAAAAGUGGAAAAAACAUUAGAUUUCGCAACAAGCGAAUAAUACCAUAUAUGUUUGGUAUGCGCAUCGACAAAAAUAACAAAAUAGCGGAAGCCAUCAGAAGAAAACAUAGGGGCAGGACCCUAAACAUCACUAAAAAUUAAUUCAAGUGGGGCAGAAGUUUUGUGACCCGUAGGUCGUAAUGACAAACGGGAUGACUUUCCUAAAGGACAAGCUUGACACUGAGUAAGAGAACAUCUAGAAGUACACACGAUUUUAUUGCCGAAAACUAACAAAUUGAAAAUGCAAGGGGUUGGAUGACCCAAACGACGAUGCCACAGGUCGGCAGUCGCGGAGAUGCAAGGAGACCAAAAAGCUUGAGAAACUGACGUGGCAGAAGACUCGGAGACGACAUAAAGGCCAUCAUGACUCUGACCGGAAAGGAGAACUUCCUUGGUGACGAAAUCCUUCACAUAAAACAUAGAAGCGUGAAAUUCAAAAUAAACAUGAUUAUCACGAUAGAAUUUUUGAACAGAUAACAACGGUUUGGUAAUGUGAGGCACAUGGAGAACAUUAGAUAAUGUAAACAUGCGUUUUGGGGAAUGUAAUUUAGUAUGUCCAAUAUGGGAUAUGUCAAGGCCCUUACCGUCACCAACAUGCAAAUAAUCAUUACCAAGAUAGGGUGCAGAAUCGGUUAGAGUUCCAAGAUCAGGUGUGACGUGUUGAUUUGCGCUGGUGUCAGGGAACCAAGUCGCAGCAGAGAUAUUCCUAACAGCAAGAUGAGUAGAAGGAUGCGGAGAGCUGCUACGAAACUGGGAACAAUGAGGAGCUGUGUGCCCAAAACCGGAGCACAAUUGGCAGCGUACAUGUUGCUGUCCAGACCACUGCCCAGCACUGGAAUUGCGCCUAGUUUGCUGCCAGUGGUUUGGCCGCCAAUCUACAGCAGAUUGGCCCUUGUUUUGGGGAGUGGAACGGUUGCUGUGGGGACGCCAAUUACCUCUAGAGCGACCCCUGUUGCGGCUGAAGUUGGGGCUGUGAUGAGACAUAGCAUGGUGUGCAGAAAACUGUGGUGUUGGCAGCAGAGGUGGCUGCUGCGGCAGAGAAGAAGAAGACAGCAGAGAGGGAGCGGCAGCCAUGGAAUGGAAAGAGUUCUUGUGCAGAAAUUCAUGGGUAAGAAGGUGGCUGUGAAGAUCAGCAUAGGAUAGCGAUUCUGCCUUGGUUAUGAGACUCGUUACCAAGUCUUUGAACUCGCCACGAAGGCCACGAAACACAUAAAGAUUGAAAUCUUCAAGAGACAUGGGGCGACUAGCAACAGCCAAUUCGUCAAAUAAUGAUUUGGCUUGCUGCAUGUAUAGACUAACCGAUGAGUCACCUUGUCGAAGGUCUUGAAAGGAGCCAUGGAGUUGCAUGAUGCGAGAAUUAGACGGAGAGGCAAGCGCUUUCUCAAGAGUGCACCAAACACAAUGCGAAGUAGAACAAUCUACCACGAGAUGCAAUACAUCCACGGAGAGAGGGGAGAGCAAAGCACUCAAAAUAAGUUGAUCAUGUUGCUUCCAACGAAGAAAAGAAGGGCUGAUGAUGGAGGAAGAACCAGCAGAGCUGUCAAAAAUAUGAGAUGGAGGACACGGCACUGAGCCGUCAACAAAGUGAAAAACACCUUGACCAAGGAGAUAUGGCUUCAUCUGCAUUCUCCAAUAGAGAUAAUUUGUGUUCGUAAGUUUUAGCAAAACAACUUGGUGAGUGUUCGCUAAAGGAACAAUAGUUGUAGCGUGGGUUCCCAUGAGAGGUAAAGGAACGGCAGGGACUUGAGAGGAAGAAUCAGAGACAAGCUCUGCAAGUGGAGGCUGCUGUGGGGAAGAAAGGGCACCAGCGGCAGCAGUUUGGGGAUGGCUGGCCGACUGUGCUGCACCACCUGUGGAGAGGGAGAAGUCGGCGGCAGUAGUAGAAUCCAUGUAGAGAAAGUAAAGAGAGGGCCGGUUGCAAAGGGAGGAAGGGAGAAAAGAGUUAUGGCGGCAGAAAGCUCUGAUACCAAGUUGAGAAUAAUUGGGAGGCUUAACCUAAUGGUUAGCCAACCCUUUAUAUAUAUACAUAUGUAGGGCAAUAUACAAUAGUAAUGGUAGAGGUUACCAUACAAGAGUAUGUCUACAAUAUUUCCUAUAUACAAUAUUUCCUAUAUAAGUACAUUCUAUAAUAACCCAUAACUAUAUAUAAAAAGCAUAAAUAUUAUAUAAAAAUAGUUGAUUUAAAUAAAUUUUAUUAACUUUGUAACUAAAAUAGGAAUUUUAAUAUGGAUUUUUUAUUUGUUUUUCAUAUAAAGCUAAUAAUUAAUAAUUUAAUUAACUUUUCCCUUUUUCAUAAAAUCUAAUUAUUAGUAAUUGUACUCAUUCCAUAUCUAAUUAAGAAAAAAACUAAAACAACAAUAUAUAAUUCUUAACACUAGUUAAUUUCGUUUUCUAUAUGCCAACUCAUGCAUUAUACAAAUCUUAAAUAAUAUAUAUAAAAAAACUAGUCAAUGUAAACUUUAUAUUGAUUAUCAAAACUGUGAAAUUACUUUAAAACUAGUCAUGGAAGGCCAAUAUUAUAUAUUAUUAUAUCGAUGAUAUUGCCAACUAAUUUUUCAAGCAGUUGAUUAUAAGUUCCUUUAAUAUAGUAUGAAAUAAUAAUGAUGUAUUUGAAUUUUAUUUAGCAUAAUGAAAUUACUAUUUUUUUUCUAAAAAAAUAAAAGAACUUAUCAGUCAAUAAAAACAGCUUAUAGAAAUUUCAAAGAAAUGGAGACAAAUUAGCGCACUUUGUCUAAAAUUUCAAAAUACUUUUAUUUCAAAGAAAUUUCAAAGAAAAGAACUUAUCAGUCAACAAAUCCAGAAUGGCUUUCUGUCCCAGUCGCACUUUGUCUAAAACUUCAAAAUAAUUAAGUUAUUAUUUAGUUGCACAUUUGCUUUAGCUCUUUGUCUGCCAUUCAGAUGUUCUAUAAGAACUUUCCACCAAGUCAACAUUUGUUUUCUCUAAAUGUGGCAUGACCUUUUUCAUUGACUUCAGUCUCCAGUCUUGUCCACGUUACCUUUACCAGAUCUGAUAUUCUAUAUAUAUAAUAUUUUUUCUUAUAAAAGCAUGACUUAAAUAAUAUUGUUUUGAUUUUUAAAUAUGUUUGUAAUAAAACUUUUGUUUCCUGAAAUAUCAAAUAUGAACUUAGCAAUAUGUCCAAAAUAUUAAAAGGACUUCAAAGAAUAUUACACCGCUUGUAUAUAUUGUCAAUUAUAAAGUUAUAAUUUCUGUAAGAAAAUAAUAAUGUAUUUGUAAUUUAUUUAAACAAUAUAAUGAAACUACUAUUUGAUUUUCCAAGUUAUUAGUCUAAACAAUAAUAGUACACCGCUUGUAUUGUCAAAAAAAAGAAGAAGUUAUUAGUCUAAAAAAAUCUUUUGUUUGUUAAAAGUGAACUAAUAGGUAAUUUUAAAUAAUGAGAAAAGAAAAGAAGAUAAAUAAGGAUAUGUUUUUAUUAAAAGAAAAAUUGCUGUUUUUUUAUCCAUUAUUAUAGUGUAUAUUAUUUAAUUAAUUAAUAAAAUGAUAUAAAAUAUUAAAUGAUUUUAAUUAGUUAUUCUAAAGAAAUGAUUGCGAUCAAUCAAUAAGUGCCGGUGCUAAUCCUCUCUGGUAGGAAAACAGCUUGAUGUAGAAAUUUCUAAGAAAUGAACACAAAGAAGCAGAAAGCAACACGGCAAGGGACUCCAUCAUCUCUGUCCACUAUCAUUGACUUUUUUCCCAAUCAGAGAACAAUAAAUGUGGCGUGACUUCUUUCAUUGACUUCAAUCUCCAGUUUUGCUAAGCUUAUCUCCAUUCCUUGUCCACAUUACCUUUCAUUUCAUCUGAUAAAAAGAUUUAACUUUCUUUCUUCCACCAUGAGGGCUGCUAGCUAGCUGAUCACCCAAAAGAUGAACUCUCUCAAAUAUUACGUUAUCCUGCUCUCGUUGCUUACCCUUGCCAUUAUCACUCUAGCACAGGAGGAUGCCAAUUAUCUCCAUCAUAAUUGCCAAAACGCAUCCACCUCCGCAAUAAACAGCACCUACCGAGUCAAUCUAAAUCUCCUCCUCUCUUCACUUGCCUCAAACGCAACCCGGAAUAAUACCAAUGGAUUCUACAACACCUCUUUCGGGCAG
This 39096-nucleotide long non-coding RNA is filed under the name Populus trichocarpa (black cottonwood). Its description in RNAcentral is "long non-coding RNA (PTRI_LNC001113)". The record is from RNAcentral. Lineage: Eukaryota; Viridiplantae; Streptophyta; Magnoliopsida; Malpighiales; Salicaceae.